Molecule: ribosomal RNA, 450 nt
Filed under: uncultured bacterium
Lineage: Bacteria
Description: partial 16S ribosomal RNA
Rfam family: Bacterial small subunit ribosomal RNA
Source: RNAcentral
GUGGGGAAUAUUGGACAAUGGGCGAAAGCCUGAUCCAGCCAUGCCGCGUGUGUGAAGAAGGUCUUCGGAUUGUAAAGCACUUUAAGUUGGGAGGAAGGGCAGUAAGUUAAUACCUUGCUGUUUUGACGUUACCGACAGAAUAAGCACCGGCUAACUUCGUGCCAGCAGCCGCGGUAAUACGAAGGGUGCAAGCGUUAAUCGGAAUUACUGGGCGUAAAGCGCGCGUAGGUGGUUUUGUAAGUUGGAGGUGAAAUCCCCGGGCUCAACCUGGGAACUGCCUACAAAACUACUGAGCUAGAGUACGGUAGAGGGUAGUGGAAUUUCCUGUGUAGCGGUGAAAUGCGUAGAUAUAGGAAGGAACACCAGUGGCGAAGGCGACUACCUGGACUGAUACUGACACUGAGGUGCGAAAGCGUGGGGAGCAAACAGGAUUAGAUACCCGAGUAGUCC